CCUACGGGAGGCAGCAGUGAGGAAUAUUGGUCAAUGGACGAGAGUCUGAACCAGCCAAGUAGCGUGAAGGAUGACUGCCCUAUGGGUUGUAAACUUCUUUUAUAAAGGAAUAAAACGAGGCACGUGUGCCUUUUUGCAUGUACUUUAUGAAUAAGGAUCGGCUAACUCCGUGCCAGCAGCCGCGGUAAUACGGAGGAUCCGAGCGUUAUCCGGAUUUAUUGGGUUUAAAGGGAGCGUAGAUGGGUUGUUAAGUCAGUUGUGAAAGUUUGCGGCUCAACCGGAAAAUUGCAAUUGAUACUGGCAGUCGUGAGUACAGUUGAGGUAGGCGGAAUUCGUGGUGUAGCGGUGAAAUGCUUAGAUAUCACGAAGAACCCCGAGUGCGAAGGCAGCUUACUAAACUGUGACUGACAUUGAUGCUCGAAAGUGUGGGUAUCAAACAGGAUUAGAUACCCCGGUAGUC
RNAcentral lists this ribosomal RNA (460 nucleotides) under uncultured bacterium. RNAcentral describes it as "partial 16S ribosomal RNA". It matches the Rfam family "Bacterial small subunit ribosomal RNA", at positions 338 to 795 of the family's 1533-position model. The record is from RNAcentral.